GAAAGUAAGAAAGGGCGCAUGGCGGAUGCCUUGGCUCACGGAGGCGAUGAAGGACGUGAUAAGCUGCGAUAAGCCCCGGGUAGGUGCAAAUGACCUUUGAUCCGGGGAUUUCCGAAUGGGACAACCCGGCAGGCUGGAGGCCUGUCAUCACUACGGAUGUAGUGAGGCGAACGGAGGGAACUGAAACAUCUUAGUACCUCCAGGAAGAGAAAAUAAACUAAUGAUUCCCCCAGUAGCGGCGAGCGAACGGGGAAGAGCCCAAACCGGCGGCGUAGCGAUGCGCCUCCGGGGUUGUAGGACCACGCAGUCGUACUUGGAUUGUGAGAAGAAUGUUCUGGAAAGAACAAUCAUAGAGGGUGAUAAUCCCGUAUUCGAAGCAUGACGAGACGUAGUGGUAUCCUGAGUAACGCGGAACACGUGAAAUUCUGCGCGAAUCUGCCGGGACCAUCCGGCAAGGCUAAAUACUCCCGUGAGACCGAUAGUGUACGAGUACCGUGAGGGAAAGGUGAAAAGCACUCCGACGAGGAGAGUGAAACAGUUCCUGAAACCAUGCGCCUACAAGCGGUCGGAGCCGCGCGAGCGGUGACGGCGUGCCUUUUGCAUAAUGAACCUACGAGUUACCAUGUCUGGCAAGGAUAAGCGUCAUGAGCCGCGUAUCCGCAGUGAAAGCGAGCCUGAACAGGGCGUCGAGUCAGACGGGGUAGACGCGAAACCAAGUGAUCUACACUUGCCCAGGCUGAAGUCCGGGUAACACCGGAUGGAGGGCCGCACGGAUAAGCGUUGAAAAGCUUCCCGAUGAGGUGAGUGUAGGAGUGAAAGGCCAAUCAAACUUGGAGAUAGCUCGUACUCCCCGAAAGGCAUUUAGGUGCCGCGUGCGGCGUUGUCCGUGAGAGGUAGAGCGACCGGUAGGUCGAGAGGGCUUCACCGCCUGUCGAGACCUGACGAACUCCGAAUGCUCUCGGAUCGGAGCCGUGCAGUAAGGGGGCGGGUGCUAAGGUCCGUCCCCGAGAGGAGAAGAAUCCAGACCGCCGUCUAAGGUCCCGGAAUUCUGCCUGAGUUAGUCUAACGAAGUCCGGUCCCCGUGACAGCUAGGAUGUUGGCUUGGAAGCAGCCAUUCAUUCAAAGAGUGCGUAACAGCUCACUAGUCGAGGGUCCGGGCGUGGAUAAUAAUCGGGUAUAAGGCAGAUACCGAAGGCGCGGGAUAGCAAUGUAUAUUGAAAGUAUCGGUAGGGGAGCAUUCCAUCGGCGUUGAAUGGUGAGGGAAACUGAUCCUGGAGCUUAUGGAAAAGCAAAUGUAGGUAUGAGUAACGAUAAAAAGGGUGAGAUUCCCUUUCGCCGAAAGACCGAGGUUUCCCGGGCGAUGCCAGUCAGCCCGGGGUCAGUCGGGUCCUAAGCCCCAGCCGAACGGCGAAGGCGAUGGCAGAUGCGGUCAACAUUCCGCAACUCGCAUUAUCAGUGACGUGGAGACGGAGCAGUGACACUGCCGCGCCCUGACGGAACAGGGCGUUUAAGUGCGUAGGCUGUGACAGCGGCAGGCAAAUCCGCCGCUGGAGCUGAAACACGAAAGUACGGCUCUUCCUUCGGGAAGCGCCGAGCGCAGGUAACCAUACUCCCGAGAAAAUCCGCUAAACUUAAUGGUACUGCGACCCGUACCGCAAACGGACACACGUGGUCGGGUAGAACAUACUGAGGCGUUGAGAGAUUCAUGGUCAAGGAACUAGGCAAACUGACCCCGUAACUUCGGGAUAAGGGGUCCUCAUGGCGACAUGAGGCGCAGAGAAUAGGUCCAGGCAACUGUUUAACAAAAACACAGGGCUGUGCGAACUCGAAAGAUGAAGUAUACAGCCUGACACCUGCCCGGUGCCGGAAGGUUAAGAGGAGACGUCACCAGCGAUGGGAAGCGUCGAAUUGAAGCCCCGGUAAACGGCGGCCGUAACUAUAACGGUCCUAAGGUAGCGAAAUUCCUUGUCGGGUAAGUUCCGACCUGCACGAAUGGUGUAAUGAUCCGGACGCUGUCUCGACCAUGAUCUCAGUGAAAUUGUAGUAUCGGUGAAGAUGCCGAUUACCCGCGAUGGGACGAAAAGACCCCGUGAACCUUUACUGCAGCUUAGCACUGACCUCGGUCAUCCGAUGUGCAGGAUAGGCCGGAGGCUUCGAGGCGGGCGCGCCAGCGUCCGCGGAGCCGCCCUUGAAAUACGGCCCUUCGGCUGUCUGAGGUCUAACGCGCCUGUGGCGCGGACACUGCUUGGCGGGCAGUUUGACUGGGGUGGUCGCCUCCAAAAGCGUAACGGAGGCUUCCAAAGGUGCCCUCGGACCGAUCGGUAACCGGUCUGAUGGAGUGCAAUGGCAUAAGGGCGCUUGACUGGGAGGCAGACAUGCCGAGCAGGUGGGAAACCAGGGCAUAGUGAUCCGGCGGACGUGCAUGGAAACUCCGUCGCUCAAAGGAUAAAAGGUACUCCGGGGAUAACAGGCUGAUCCCCCCCGAGAGCUCAUAUCGACGGGGUGGUUUGGCACCUCGAUGUCGGCUCGUCACAUCCUGGGGCUGGAGAAGGUCCCAAGGGUUGGGCUGUUCGCCCAUUAAAGUGGCACGCGAGCUGGGUUCAGAACGUCGUGAGACAGUUCGGUCUCUAUCUAUCGUGGGCGCUGGAGUUUUGCGCGGUGCCGUCACUAGUACGAGAGGACCGUGACGGACAGACCUCCGGUCAGCCGGUUGUGCCGCCAGGUGCACCGCCGGGUAUCUGAGUCUGGAACGGAUAAGCGCUGAAAGCAUCUAAGCGCGAAGCCGUCCGCAAGAUGAGAACUCCUCACGAGGGCCGUCACAGACGAUGACGUGGAUAGGGCGCAGGUGUAAAGACGGCGACGUCAAAGCCGAGCGCUACUAAUUGCCCGAAGCUUUCUCCCG
RNAcentral lists this ribosomal RNA (2902 nucleotides) under Prevotella denticola. Its description in RNAcentral is "bacterial LSU rRNA". It matches the Rfam family "Bacterial large subunit ribosomal RNA". Lineage: Bacteria; Pseudomonadati; Bacteroidota; Bacteroidia; Bacteroidales; Prevotellaceae. The record is from RNAcentral.